GAUGAACGUUGGCGGUGUGCCUAAUACAUGCAAGUCGAACGGAGUUAAUAGCAAUAUUGACUUAGUGGCGAACGGGUGAGUAACGCGUUGGUGAUCUGCCUCAAAGUGUGGAAUAACGUUCCGAAAGGAACGCUAAUACCGCAUGUGCUCUCGAUUUUUAGAAAGUUGAGAGUAAAGGAUUUAUUCGCUUUGAGAGGAGCCUGCGUCCCAUCAGCUAGUUGGUAGGGUAAUAGCCUACCAAGGCUUUGACGGGUAGGGGACCUGAGAGGGUCGGCCCCCCACAAUGGAACUGAAACACGGUCCAUACACCUACGGGUGGCAGCAGUAGGGAAUAUUAGAAAUGGACGAAAGUCUGAUCUAGCGACACCGCGUGUGCGAUGAAGGCCUUCGGGUUGUAAAGCACUUUUUGGAAGGAAUAGGAAGGAAGGUACUUCCAGAAUAAGUCUCGGCUAACUACGUG
RNAcentral lists this ribosomal RNA (460 nucleotides) under uncultured bacterium. RNAcentral describes it as "bacterial SSU rRNA". It matches the Rfam family "Bacterial small subunit ribosomal RNA", at positions 28 to 507 of the family's 1533-position model. The record is from RNAcentral.